CACGUAGUUAGCCGGUGCUUAUUCUUUAGGUACCGUCAGCAGAAACGGGUAUUAACCGCUCCUUUUUCUUCCCUAACAAAAGUCCUUUACAACCCGAAGGCCUUCUUCAGACACGCGGCAUGGCUGGAUCAGGCUUGCGCCCAUUGUCCAAAAUUCCCCACUGCUGCCUCCCGUAGGAGUCCGGGCCGUGUCUCAGUCCCAGUGUGGCGGAUCAUCCUCUCAGACCCGCUACUGAUCGUCGCCUUGGUAGGCCUUUACCCCACCAACUAGCUAAUCAGAUAUUGGCCGCUCGAAUAACGCAAGGCCCGAAGGUCCCCUGCUUUCCUCCUCAGAGCGUAUGCGGUAUUAGCCAAUCUUUCGAUUGGUUAUCCCCCAUUACCCGGUACGUUCCAAUAUAUUACUCACCCGUUCGCCACUCGCCGGCAGUAGUGCAAGCACUACCCCGCUGCCGUCGACUUGCAUGUGUAAAGCAUGCCGCCAGCGUUCAAUCUGAGCCAGGAUCAAAAUCU
This 509-nucleotide ribosomal RNA is filed under the name uncultured Neisseria sp. RNAcentral's name for it is "partial 16S ribosomal RNA". Lineage: Bacteria; Pseudomonadati; Pseudomonadota; Betaproteobacteria; Neisseriales; Neisseriaceae. The record is from RNAcentral.